UGCCCCAUGGCUGAGUUGGUUACAGCGUCCGACUGUUAUACACUGAUACUAGCUGCCUGCUAGCUGCAAUCGGAAGGUCGAGAGUUCGAGCCUCUCUGGGGCAG
Molecule: non-coding RNA, 104 nt
Organism: Pholiota molesta
Lineage: Eukaryota; Fungi; Basidiomycota; Agaricomycetes; Agaricales; Strophariaceae
Source: the annotation of a GenBank genome assembly